UGCAGCACACUUCUUCUCCGCAAAAUUGGCACCGCGCUUCCUGAAAUGCAAAGUCAUUAAGAAGCAUUCGGAUGUCGUAUAUGAUCUUCAGGAGAUAGACACGGGUAAAAUUGGAAAAUAUCAUGUCAAGGACAUAAUUAAAGUCCCACAAGGUGUAUGUCACACGUAACAAUUUAUUUUAUAUUAUUAGGGCAUAUUAAGAUUUAGCCCAUUCUUUUUUUUCAAGCAUACAUGCUUCUUUGACCCAACUGGUCAACAUUUGUUCCAAGCAUUUCCUAGGAAAUCAAAUUUUAUAAGUAACUACAUACCCUAAGGGCCCAGGGUGACUCAAUUAUGGUGGAUAUAAUACACUAAGUAGGACAUGGAAAAGAAAACCAAGUUUUUCUUUUUCAAUUAAUGCAAGCCCAUUGGCUGCAUAUUGGAGUUUGAUUUAAGUGCGGGUUACAAGUAACUUCCACUAUUGCUAGUAUAAGUAAUAAAUAAAAACUACCAACUAGUAACCACAUUAUAUUAGGGUACUAGUGGCUUUGUAUUUGUAGGAAUAUAGGCAUAGCAGAGCAUGCUAUAGUAAAACAUAACUAUUAGUAUAUCAAUAGGUAGCAUUAAAUUAGGAAUAGAAAUACAUGUAAUAUACUAAUUAAUUAGAAUAAAUUAGCCUAAUCAAAGAUAACUAAUAUUUUUGUUAGCAUUAAAAGAUAUCAAUUAGCCUCAAAAUGAGAGUUAGCUCAUUAUUAACUAUAGCGACUACAUUAUACAACUUAAGACUAUUUCAAAGGAAAUCUAGGUUAUAUUUUUUAGUUGAGUAGCAGAAACCACAGUGUGGUGGCCACACGCUGUGAUUUCUAAUGUGAAACAUGUGAUAGUCAUGAUCUGACCACAGCAUAGUGUUAGGAGGUGUACGUCUACGUUAUAGUUCUAGAACAUAAUAUAGGUAAAUUAAAGAUAAAUAUUAAGUAGCAUACUAAAUAAAUAAAUAUAGGUUUAGUGUCAAACGAUAAUAAAUAUGGAGCGCAUGUAUAUGUCCGCAUGUAUAGUUAACGUCCUACUGGACCAGAUGAUUUUUUGGGAAAAGAUUUUUUUUUUUUUUUUUUUUCUCCGGUUACCCCGGCUGCCUCGGUUAAGCGGCGCUUAACCUCUUUGCCGAGAGAGGGGAUAUUGUAGCGAUGCUACGUAUUUGCUUAGGAUAAAUACAUGUUUUUCCAUACAAGAUAACCGGUACAACAUGACUGUCGCAUUUCCAACAAAAUAACAUACACCAGAGUAUGACACUUAUGUAAAACUAUAAUGUACCUCCUCAGCUGUAGGUUGGUUGGCGUAUCCUGCCUCCUGGUUAACUGGUUUCGAAGAAACAAGGCUAAAGAGUAUGCCACUUGAACGGAACUUGUCACCCAGAUUGCGCGGAGAUUGGUGAACCAAACCUGGCUUCAUGCAUACCAAAAUGAUCCCCCUGGUCUACCCCAACUGCUCAAAUAGGUCACUUCCUAAUUUAAUUAGUAUUUUAGAAUCAUUUUCGGAAUUUUUAUGAAACAUAAAUAGUGAAUAUGAAGGUGUGAAAAGGUUGAAAUUUUGACAGGAGAACUGUCAGAGAGUAGACUAUGCGUUUAGUUACCGCAUCGGAAAGAAGGUAUUCUGAAUGAAACAAGGUAGGAAACGUACGAUAGAAAUAUAAUUAUUAGUAAUUAUUAUUAACCACUUAAAAUAUUACAAGUAUUAAUGAGCAUUGAUAUUUUUUCGAGAGUCAUAUGAUUUGGAAAAGGUUUAAGUUGGUUUGACGUUUGAUGCGUCGAUAUGGAUCGAAACGGAGGGCUGGGGAUUUUGCUAGAAUCGACAAUGGAUGGGGGAGUUGGUACUGGGGCACGCUAGCAUUUAUACAGCUCCUAAUUGAAUAUCGAAAUAAACCGCCUCGCCCCCUUCCGCCGCCUGCCCUGGCCGGUGGAAGAUUGGGAUAUAUGUAAAGUGCGCCGUGUGUGUGUGUGUUGUGCGCGAAAAGGGCGUAGCCCACCGAGUGCUUUCCGUGCCGCCGGCGAGCGCAAGCAUGGCCGACGGUCGUGUUGCUCCGAGCGCCGUUGCGCGCUCCCUGAUGUGCUGAGCGUCGUGGGGACGCUGGUUUUCACCGCAGGGCGCAGUUUCCAAGGCCUGUGGACUGCGUGCCGCCUGGCGAUCCCGAGCCGUAGGGCACGGCCUUGACCCGCGAGCCGUGUGUCGGACAGCCUUGCCGCGGUCCGACGACCCCAAGGUCUCAUCGCGCGGGUCCUUCUUGGGGAACUCCUGAGCGCCGCGGGUUGUUCUCGCCCGGGCUUGCCAAAGCCGGAGCUUGAGGAACGCCCGUCGCCCACCGUCAGCGAUCCGCCUGCUGCGUUAAAUACCAGCGGGCCUGUGGAUGAUAGCUACGUUCGGUACCCGUGAGUGCACUAGACUUUUAUCCCAGGUUUUGGCCAAGACCCCGCGUCUCGUUCAUCUCGCGAUCGUAGAUUAAGGUUUACUAUAGUGUCACCCCAUAACCGCCGACAGUUUAGAGAAACCGAUUGUAUUCUGAGCAGCGCCCGCCCUAAAGCGGAGUGCAUUGUAGUAGUUAGCGAAUUGUAUUAAAUUGCAUGUCAUAUA
Long non-coding RNA from Cydia fagiglandana, 2604 nucleotides. RefSeq lists it as uncharacterized. The transcript is spliced from 2 exons. Lineage: Eukaryota; Metazoa; Arthropoda; Insecta; Lepidoptera; Tortricidae. The record is from RefSeq and is a predicted model, not a curated record.